CCUACGGGUGGCAGCAGUGGGGAAUAUUGCACAAUGGGGGAAACCCUGAUGCAGCGACGCCGCGUGAGUGAAGAAGUCAUUCGUUAUGUAAAGCUCUAUUAGCAGGGAAGAAAAUGACGGUACUUGAGUAAGAAGCACCGGCUAACUACGUGCCAGCAGCCGCGGUAAUACGUCGGGGGCAAGCGUUAUCCGGAGUUACUGGGUGUAAAGGGGGCGUAGACGGCAGUGCAAGUCUGAAGUGAAAGGCGGGGGCGCAACCCCCGGACUGCACUUGAAACUGUAAGUCUUGAGUGCAGGAGAGGUAAGUGGAAUUCCUAGUGUAGCGGUGAAAUGCGUAGAUAUUAGGAGGAACACCAGUGGCGAAGGCGGCUUACUGGACUGUAACUGACGUUGAGGCUCGAAAGCGUGGGGAGCAAACAGGAUUAGAUACCCUAGUAGUC
This 440-nucleotide ribosomal RNA is filed under the name uncultured bacterium. RNAcentral describes it as "partial 16S ribosomal RNA". It matches the Rfam family "Bacterial small subunit ribosomal RNA", at positions 338 to 795 of the family's 1533-position model. The record is from RNAcentral.